CCCUUAGAUGUCUUGGGCCGCACGCGCGCUACACUGACAUGUUCAACAAGCCUCCUAGUUCGACAGGAUUUGGGAAAUCUUUGAACGCAUGUCGUGAUAGGGAUAGAUCAUUGCAAUUAUUGAUCUUGAACGAGGAAUUCCUAGUAAACGCGAGUCAUCAGCUCGCAUUGAUUACGUCCCUGCCCUUUGUACACACCGCCCGUCGCACCUACCGAUUGAAUGUUUCGGUGAAGAUUCCGGAUAGGACUUUUUUGAUUUAUUUCAAUUCUGUCUUAAAAGCUAUCUAAACCUCAACAUUUAGAGGAAGGUGAAGUCGUAACA
This 321-nucleotide ribosomal RNA is filed under the name uncultured eukaryote. RNAcentral's name for it is "partial 18S ribosomal RNA". It matches the Rfam family "Eukaryotic small subunit ribosomal RNA", at positions 1470 to 1796 of the family's 1831-position model. The record is from RNAcentral.